AGAGCAGACCAGAAGUAACCCCACACUCCAUCAUCUUCUCUAUUUUCUACUAUACUUAUUUAGAACCUUCUACUAUAAAUGUUGUGCAUCCAACCAAACCUCCCCCCACCAACAUUCUACUCUUCACCUUCUCUCUCUAUCUCUCUGUUUCACACCAACGAAAUGCACACUAAAAUUCUUCUUCCUUCUUGCAUCUUACUUGUGCUUUUGUCCUCACUACCAUCUUUCAAUGUUGUUGUGGCUGGAGAUGGAGAAAGUCUUGGUGAAUCUGGGAACCCAUUUACACCAAAAGGCUAUCUAAUUAGGUACUGGAAGAAACAAAUCUCAAAUGACUUACCAAAGCCAUGGUUCCUUCUCAACAAGGCAUCCCCAUUGAGUGCUGCACAAUAUGCAAAAUACUCAAAACUUGCUGCAGAUCAAAAUGCACUCACCACACAACUUCACUCCUUUUGCUCUUCAGCAAAUCUCAUGUGUGCGCCUGAUUUGUUACCAAGUCUUGAAAAACAUGGAGAGGUCCAUUUUACCACUUACAAUGACAAGAACUUCACCAAUUAUGCCACCAACUUACCUGGUCUUGGAUCCAAUACAUUCAAGAACUACUCUGAUGGACAAAACAUCCCUGUUAAUUCUUUCAGGCGUUAUGGUAGAGGUUCCCCCCGUGACAAUGAAUUCAACAACUAUGCCCCUGAUGGUAAUGUAAUUGACCAAAGUUUCAACACCUAUAGCACAAGUUCAGCAGGGGGUUCAGGCCAAUUCGCAAACUAUGCCAAAAAUGUCAAUGUCCCAAAUGUGCGUUUCACUUCCUACUCAGACCAAGGAGUCGGUGCUGACCAAGUGUUCAAGUCUUACUCACAACAAGCAAAUGCUGGUGACCAAUCUUUCAAAAGCUAUGGCAAAAAUGGGAACGGUGCUGAUAGUAAUUUUACAAGCUAUGGUACUGACUCAAAUGUUAUAGGCUCAACAUUUACAAACUAUGGUCAGUCAGCAAAUGGGGAGAAUCAAAAUUUCACAUCUUAUGGUACCAAUGGCAAUGUUCCUGUAAACAAUUUCAAGAACUAUGGUGUUGGAGGUAAUGGUCCAUCUGAGACUUUUACUAGCUAUAGAGAUCAAUCGAAUGUUGGAGAUGACACGUUCACUACGUAUGUUAAAGAUGCAAAUGGCGGUGAAGCAAAUUUCACCAACUAUGGUCAAUCAUUCAAUGAAGGUACUGAUGUAUUUACUACUUAUGGUAAAGGGGCUAAUGACCCACAUAUUAAUUUCAAGACUUAUGGAGUUAACAACACUUUCAAAGAUUAUGUCAAAGAUACUGCCACAUUUUCCAAUUAUCAUAACAAAACUUCCCAAGUUUUGGCUUCGUUGACCGAAGUCAACGGUGGCAAAAAGGUCAAUAACCCGUGGGUUGAGCCUGGAAAGUUUUUCCGGGAGAAGAUGUUGAAGAGUGGUACAGUCAUGCCUAUGCCAGAUAUAAGAGAUAAGAUGCCUAAAAGGUCGUUUUUGCCCCGGGUGAUUGCUUCGAAACUACCCUUUUCGACCUCGAAGAUUAGUGAGCUGAAGAAAAUCUUCCACGCGGCCGACGAUUCUCAGGUGGCAAAGAUGAUUGGCGAUGCUCUCAGCGAGUGUGAAAGAGCACCGAGCGCCGGUGAGACGAAACGGUGUGUUAACUCAGCUGAAGAUAUGAUUGAUUUAGCAACUUCAAUGUUGGGCCGAAACAUUGUGGUUCGGACAACUGAGAACACAGAAGGGUCAAAGGGUAACAUCAUGAUCGGAUCAGUCAAAGGAAUCAACGGUGGAAAAGUUACCAAAUCAGUGUCAUGUCAUCAGAGCUUGUUCCCUUACUUACUCUAUUAUUGUCAUUCCGUUCCUAAGGUCCGGGUCUACGAAGUGGAUAUUUUGGACCCGAAUUCAAAGGCUAAGAUCAAUCAUGGUGUUGCCAUUUGCCACGUGGAUACUUCUUCAUGGGGACCCAGUCACGGAGCCUUCAUUGCACUCGGGUCGGGACCCGGGAAAAUUGAAGUUUGUCAUUGGAUCUUUGAAAACGAUAUGACUUGGGCAAUUGCUGAUUGAGCCGAGAGAAAAAAAAAUAGUUGUGCAAAGUUUGUGCUUCGGGUCGAAUCAGGUACUACGAUAUUACAGUAGGAAUAAUAGCAAUAUCCAAAGCUGAAGUGAUGCAAGUGCCAAGCCCUCAAGGCCUUUCACCCAAAGUCAAGCUAAGGAACUUCAACAACUCCAAGCCAUGUUCAUGCACUUGGAGGUUUGUGAGGGUGUUAUGCAUUCGGUCAAGGGAGGAAAUGCCUUGAUUUGUGAAGAUGAGCUUUGAAGGGUCUACAUUCUACAAGGGGCAAGUUGGACUUUGCACUUUACAUUCCAACAUCCAAGAGGCGCCUCCUCUUCUUUAAUUCAUUAAGGGCAUUUUUUUACUUUUGUUAUGUAAUAGUAUAAAUAGACAAUUUCACUUCUCUUUUCACUAGUUUUGAAGAAUAUUGAAAGAUUAAUCUUAGUUUGUAGUUUAUAGUCUUCUAGUUUAGCAUAGAAUCCGAAACUUUGAGUGUUGAAUGAAAUUGAAGGGUUUUUCACUUGUAUUGAACAUUUGACAAGAAAGGUGUGAUUGAGGGAGUGUGAAUUCCUUUGGUUCACCUAAGAGUAAGGUUUGAACUUACAUUGGUAAGGUGUGAUUGAGUAUUUGGAACAUAUUCUUUUGCUAAUCAUUGGUGGAAGUGAGUGUU
Capsicum annuum is the source of this 2723-nucleotide RNA transcript. It is a transcript of the gene named polygalacturonase-1 non-catalytic subunit beta, with no coding region annotated. The record is from RefSeq and is a predicted model, not a curated record. Lineage: Eukaryota; Viridiplantae; Streptophyta; Magnoliopsida; Solanales; Solanaceae. The transcript has 3 exons.